UACGGAGGAUGCGAGCGUUAUCCGGAUUUAUUGGGUUUAAAGGGUGCGCAGGCGGCACGGCAAGCCGGCGGUCAAAUCGCGGGGCUCAACCCCGCCCAGUCGUCGGAACUGCCGGGCUAGAGUGGGCGUGAAGUGCGCGGAAUGCGUGGCGUAGCGGUGAAAUGCAUAGAUAUCACGCAGAACUCCGAUUGCGAAGGCAGCGCACCGGCGCCCUACUGACGCUCAGGCACGAAAGCGUGGGUAUCGAACAGG
Molecule: ribosomal RNA, 252 nt
Filed under: uncultured bacterium
Lineage: Bacteria
Description: partial 16S ribosomal RNA
Rfam family: Bacterial small subunit ribosomal RNA
Source: RNAcentral